Long non-coding RNA from Dreissena polymorpha, 214 nucleotides. RefSeq lists it as uncharacterized. The transcript has 3 exons. The record is from RefSeq and is a predicted model, not a curated record. Lineage: Eukaryota; Metazoa; Mollusca; Bivalvia; Myida; Dreissenidae.
CAACAACAACAACAACAAAUAUGGCGGAAUCUGUAUUGUCAAACACGGAAGAAGAAGGAUACAACCAUAAUUAAACCAAGAAGUUUAUGAAGAAGGGAUCACUGGAUUUUGUCACUUUGGUACAAGAAACAGAAAAGGAUAUCAUAGACCACCUUACUUAUACGGAAGCAUAGGAGCUGUUGAAGGAAAUUGCUGCCAGACAGUCAGCAGUUAU